RNAcentral lists this ribosomal RNA (429 nucleotides) under Chloroflexota bacterium. RNAcentral's name for it is "Chloroflexi bacterium partial 16S ribosomal RNA". It matches the Rfam family "Bacterial small subunit ribosomal RNA", at positions 355 to 776 of the family's 1533-position model. Lineage: Bacteria; Bacillati; Chloroflexota. The record is from RNAcentral.
UGGGGAAUAUUGCACAAUGGGCGCAAGCCUGAUGCAGCCAUGCCGCGUGUAUGAAGAAGGCCUUCGGGUUGUAAAGUACUUUCAGCGGGGAGGAAGGGAGUAAAGUUAAUACCUUUGCUCAUUGACGUUACCCGCAGAAGAAUCACCGGCUAACUCCGUGCCAGCAGCCGCGGUAAUACGGAGGGUGCAAGCGUUAAUCGGAAUUACUGGGCGUAAAGCGCACGCAGGCGGUUGAUUGAGUCAGAUGUGAAAUCCCCGGGCUUAACCCGGGAAGUGCAUUGGAUACUGGUCAGCUAGAGUCUUGUAGAGGGGGGUAGAAUUCCAUGUGUAGCGGUGAAAUGCGUAGAGAUGUGGAGGAAUACCGGUGGCGAAGGCGGCCCCCUGGACAAAGACUGACGCUCAGGUGCGAAAGCGUGGGGAGCAAACAGG